CCCGAGGGCAGCACAAACUAUGGGUGCUCUCUUCGGUGGGGGGGGGUUGCUAUGGAGAGUCAUCGUUUCAACGUUGCAUUCCAUUAAGAAAAGGUGAUAAUGUCCAGGAAGAGGAUUUACAAAACUUUUAGAAGCGUGAAACUCGAUUUAAUAUCACGUGCACUGUUAUGCACGGAAGGGUUCUUGGUCGAGUCGUUGUUUCCCCCUGACUUUUUCUAGCAAUGGUAUUACCCAUCCCGUCCCUCCUUUGCAGAUUGGAGCCUAUGUCCAGACUCUCCCGUUGGAUUGGCUGCGACUAUCGGACGUUCCUCCUCCAACCGCCAACAGCCUACUUUAGAAGCCAACCUCGCCUUAGCAACCAGACAAACUCAUCCACGCCGCUACUAGCCGGGCCGGAAUCUUAGCUUCUUUCUCCUCAGCGUAUAGGCUAAUCCCAUUGUCCCUCAGAAGAUGCUCUGAGCCGGCCCACCCCCCUGAUUGGCUACUUGCCUUAAGGUUUCUGUUCUAUUGAAAAGUACGCACUCCCAGAGCAAUUGUCACUGCCAAAUCUUGGAGCAACUUUAGCUUAUGGUUACAAGCGCUCCCAUUUUUGUUCUGCUUUCGGGCAGGAGCAUGGCAGGCCUGGAAAUCGUUAGGUCCAAUUCUCAUAUGUACAGAUUGGAGAAAUAGGUGCAGAGAUACUUAUUCAUAUUCACGCGAGUAGUAAAUAGUGGUGCUCGGGACUCGAACCCAGGACCUCCAGCUCCAAGCCUCGUUGUCUCCUUCCUCUAACUUCCUCCAGAAGUCCGCGCCCGUGUGAGAGAGCCAGGACAAGUAAUCUACCCAUUUUACAGAUGAGGAAAACUGACUUUCCAAAGAUCACACAGCAAUUAAAUGGUUCCUUCACAUACUUCUCACUGGAGGACGAUUUCCCAGCUUGCAAAGGGUCUGUAGGACAUUGGACUUCCUAUCUUCCAGUCAGUGACCUAAAUGGUAUUCUCAGAUCAGCUGGUGGUUUCAUCAUGGGGAGUCGAGGACUUCUUGAACCCCACCCACCCAAAGGAAACUAAUUUCUAGCUCUACUAGAGACCAAGAAGCUCAAGGAAAACCAAAAUGCCAGCAUUGGACUUGGAGAUACUCCAGGAGCAGCAUAACAAAGAGAAUUCAGGAAAGCUGUUCCAGUCCCCAUUCCCCCCCAGGAGAGAAAGCUAGGAAUUUACCUUUUAGUUCAAUAAAACCUCCUUUAUCUUCCUACCA
Molecule: long non-coding RNA, 1236 nt
Filed under: Monodelphis domestica (gray short-tailed opossum)
Lineage: Eukaryota; Metazoa; Chordata; Mammalia; Didelphimorphia; Didelphidae
Description: lncRNA (ENSMODG00000037403.1)
Source: RNAcentral